AGACUUGAGUGCAGAAGAGGAGAGUGGAAUUCCAUGUGUAGCGGUGAAAUGCGUAGAUAUAUGGAGGAACACCAGUGGCGAAGGCGGCUCUCUGGUCUGUAACUGACGCUGAGGCUCGAAAGCGUGGGGAGCAAAACAGGAUUAGAUACCCUGGUAGUCCACGCCGUAAACGAUGAGUGCUAAGUGUUGGAGGGUUUCCGCCCUUCAGUGCUGCAGCUAACGCAUUAAGCACUCCGCCUGGGGAGUACGACCGCAAGGUUGAAACUCAAAGGAAUUGACGGGGGCCCGCACAAGCGGUGGAGCAUGUGGUUUAAUUCGAAGCAACGCGAAGAACCUUACCAGGUCUUGACAUCCUUUGACCACUCUAGAGAUAGAGCUUCCCCUUCGGGGGCAAAGUGACAGGUGGUGCAUGGUUGUCGUCAGCUCGUGUCGUGAGAUGUUGGGUUAAGUCCCGCAACGAGCGCAACCCUUAUUGUUAGUUGCCAUCAUUUAGUUGGGCACUCUAGCAAGACUGCCGGUGACAAACCGGAGGAAGGUGGGGAUGACGUCAAAUCAUCAUGCCCCUUAUGACCUGGGCUACACACGUGCUACAAUGGGAAGUACAACGAGUCGCAAAGUCGCGAGGCUAAGCUAAUCUCUUAAAGCUUCUCUCAGUUCGGAUUGUAGGCUGCAACUCGCCUACAUGAAGCCGGAAUCGCUAGUAAUCGCGGAUCAGCACGCCGCGGUGAAUACGUUCCCGGGCCUUGUACACACCGCCCGACACACCACGAGAGUUUGUAACACCCGAAGUCGGUGAG
Molecule: ribosomal RNA, 797 nt
Filed under: Enterococcus hirae
Lineage: Bacteria; Bacillati; Bacillota; Bacilli; Lactobacillales; Enterococcaceae
Description: bacterial SSU rRNA
Rfam family: Bacterial small subunit ribosomal RNA
Source: RNAcentral